GCCUACGGGGGGCAGCAGUAGGGAAUAUUGCACAAUGGGCGAAAGCCUGAUGCAGCAACGCCGCGUGUGCGAUGGAGGCCUUCGGGUCGUAAAGCACUUUUCUGAGAGAUGAGAAAGGACAGUAUCUCAGGAAUAAGUCUCGGCUAACUACGUGCCAGCAGCCGCGGUAAAACGUAGGAGGCGAGCGUUAUCCGGAUUCACUGGGCGUAAAGCGCGUGCAGGCGGUUCGGUAAGUUGGGUAUGAAAUCUCCUGGCUUAACUAGGAGAGGUUAUCCAAUACUACCGGACUAGAGAGUGGUAGAGGAAGAUGGAAUUCCAGGUGUAGUGGUGAAAUGCGUAGAUAUCUGGAGGAACACCAGUGGCGAAAGCGAUCUUCUGGACCAUUUCUGACGCUCAGACGCGAAAGCUAGGGUAGUAAACGGGAUUAGAUACCCCGGUAGU
This 441-nucleotide ribosomal RNA is filed under the name uncultured bacterium. Its description in RNAcentral is "bacterial SSU rRNA". It matches the Rfam family "Bacterial small subunit ribosomal RNA", at positions 337 to 794 of the family's 1533-position model. The record is from RNAcentral.